This 1501-nucleotide ribosomal RNA is filed under the name Listeria booriae. Its description in RNAcentral is "partial 23S ribosomal RNA". It matches the Rfam family "Bacterial large subunit ribosomal RNA", at positions 1 to 1494 of the family's 2925-position model. Lineage: Bacteria; Bacillati; Bacillota; Bacilli; Caryophanales; Listeriaceae. The record is from RNAcentral.
AUGGUUAAGUUAGAAAGGGCGCACGGUGGAUGCCUUGGCACUAGGAGCCGAAGAAGGACGGGACUAACACCGAUAUGCUUUGGGGAGCUGUACGUAAGCGUUGAUCCAGAGAUUUCCGAAUGGGGGAACCCACUAUCUUUAGUCGGAUAGUAUCCUUACGUGAAUACAUAGCGUAAGGAAGGCAGACCCAGGGAACUGAAACAUCUAAGUACCUGGAGGAAGAGAAAGAAAAAUCGAUUUCCUGAGUAGCGGCGAGCGAAACGGAAAGAGCCCAAACCAAGAAGCUUGCUUCUUGGGGUUGUAGGACACUCUAUACGGAGUUACAAAGGAAUGUGGUAAACGAAGUGGUCUGGAAAGGCCCGCCAAAGAAGGUAACAGCCCUGUAAUUGAAAGCAUAUUCCCUCCAGAGUGGAUCCUGAGUACGGCGGAACACGUGAAAUUCCGUCGGAAUCCGGGAGGACCAUCUCCCAAGGCUAAAUACUCCCUAGUGACCGAUAGUGAACCAGUACCGUGAGGGAAAGGUGAAAAGCACCCCGGAAGGGGAGUGAAACAGUUCCUGAAACCGUGUGCCUACAAGUAGUUAGAGCCCGUUAAUGGGUGAUAGCGUGCCUUUUGUAGAAUGAACCGGCGAGUUACGAUUUGUUGCAAGGUUAAGCGGAAAAAGCGGAGCCGUAGCGAAAGCGAGUCUGAAUAGGGCGCAUGAGUAACAGGUCGUAGACCCGAAACCAGGUGAUCUACCCAUGUCCAGGAUGAAGGUGAGGUAAUACUCACUGGAGGUCCGAACCCACGCACGUUGAAAAGUGCGGGGAUGAGGUGUGGGUAGCGGAGAAAUUCCAAUCGAACCUGGAGAUAGCUGGUUCUCUCCGAAAUAGCUUUAGGGCUAGCCUCGAGGUAAAGAGUCGUGGAGGUAGAGCACUGUUUGGACUAGGGGCCCUUCUCGGGUUACCGAAUUCAGAUAAACUCCGAAUGCCAUGUACUUAUACUCGGGAGUCAGACUGCGAGUGAUAAGAUCCGUAGUCGAAAGGGAAACAGCCCAGACCACCAGUUAAGGUCCCAAAAUAUAUGUUAAGUGGAAAAGGAUGUGGGGUUGCAUAGACAACCAGGAUGUUGGCUUAGAAGCAGCCACCAUUGAAAGAGUGCGUAAUAGCUCACUGGUCGAGUGACCCCGCGCCGAAAAUGUACCGGGGCUAAACAUAUUACCGAAACUGUGGAUGAACCUCUUUGGAGGUUCGUGGUAGGAGAGCGUUCUAAGGGCGGUGAAGUCAGACCGGAAGGACUGGUGGAGCGCUUAGAAGUGAGAAUGCCGGUAUGAGUAGCGAAAGAAGGGUGAGAAUCCCUUCCACCGAAUAUCUAAGGUUUCCUGAGGAAGGCUCGUCCGCUCAGGGUUAGUCGGGACCUAAGCUGAGGCCGAUAGGCGUAGGCGAUGGACAACAGGUAGAUAUUCCUGUACCAGUGCUAGUUGUUUGAGCAAUGGGGUGACACAGAAGGAUAGGGAAUCGCA